GCUCGGGGGACGAAACUGGCUGACGCGCAGGGCUUAAAAUCCUGUGGAGGGUCACCUUCCGUGUGGGUUCGACUCCCACCCCGGGUA
This 87-nucleotide transfer RNA is filed under the name bacterium. RNAcentral's name for it is "tRNA-Leu". It matches the Rfam family "tRNA". From Rfam's summary of the family: Transfer RNA (tRNA) molecules are approximately 80 nucleotides in length. The record is from RNAcentral.